This is a non-coding RNA of Ictidomys tridecemlineatus (thirteen-lined ground squirrel), 694 nucleotides long. NCBI's taxonomy places the organism in Eukaryota, Metazoa, Chordata, Mammalia, Rodentia, Sciuridae. The record is from RefSeq and is a predicted model, not a curated record.
GAGAUUAGACAAAGUCCUGCCGCAAGCCUGACCGGCUUCCUGCAGACCGCUUGGAGAAGAUCACCCUGGACACAGGGACCAGCUAAGAAAAAAAUGGGUAUCACAUCACGUACAAACGUCAUAUCACUUCCAGUCCCAUUGUCCCCUGGAAAUAUUCUCCCGACGGUCUCAUUAGAGAUUGUGAAGAGCUGGGGACAACAGUGUGUCACAGAUACCCUCCAGAGAACACAGUCCUCGGCUUGCCACCAGGAGUGUUGAAACCCACGUCCACAUCAUCUGUCUGGAGGGGGAAAGCAAUCUCUCUCUUCCCCAUCUUGGGUUCCUGGCUGAGAUCCCUGUGACAAAAAAAAAACAGAUCCGUGAAAGAGAAGUGUGAGAAUGUCUUUAAUAUCCGUUUUAUGGGACACGGAAGAUCUCAUGAGGAAACAGAGACCCAGUGAAAAAAGUAGACCCGUGUGUUUUGUAUUUGUAUUUUUUUAAGAUGGUAAGGCACACUUGAUUCCUGAGAGGCCAUGGUGAGAGGUUCGGGGGCUGCUGGAGUGGGGUCUUGAACGGGGGGGGCAACAGACUAGACUGGGUUCAACUGUGUUUGCGCUAGUUUAGGGGACCAAGUGGAUGGUCAUGAAGAAGUGUCUGGAUAACGUGUGAUCUCGUGUUAAUAAAGUGAGGGGAACUCACAAGGCCUGGAUCUUCA